GACGAACGCUGGCGGCGUGCUUAACACAUGCAAGUCGAACGGGAAGUCCCUGCUUUUGUGGGGUGCUCGAGUGGCGAACGGGUGAGUAACACGUGAGUAACCUGCCCUUGACUUUGGGAUAACUUCAGGAAACUGGGGCUAAUACCGGAUAGGAGCUCCUGCUGCAUGGUGGGGGUUGGAAAGUUUCGGCGGUUGGGGAUGGACUCGCGGCUUAUCAGCUUGUUGGUGGGGUAGUGGCUUACCAAGGCGUUGACGGGUAGCCGGCCUGAGAGGGUGACCGGCCGCAUUGGGACGGAGAUGCCGCCCACACUCCUACGGGAGGCAGCAGUGGGGAAUAUUGCACCAUGGGCGGAGGCCUGAUGCAGCAACGCCGCGUGCGGGAUGACGGCCUUCGGGUUGUAGACCGCUUUCGCCUGUGACGAAGCGUGAGUGACGGUAAUGGGUAAAGAAGCACCGGCUAACUACGUG
Molecule: ribosomal RNA, 468 nt
Filed under: uncultured bacterium
Lineage: Bacteria
Description: partial 16S ribosomal RNA
Rfam family: Bacterial small subunit ribosomal RNA
Source: RNAcentral